RNAcentral lists this ribosomal RNA (600 nucleotides) under uncultured bacterium. RNAcentral's name for it is "bacterial SSU rRNA". It matches the Rfam family "Bacterial small subunit ribosomal RNA", at positions 66 to 645 of the family's 1533-position model. The record is from RNAcentral. RNAcentral also lists the same sequence under 1 other name.
GCGAAAGCGGGCUUCGGCCCGCAAGUAGAGUGGCAAACGGGUGAGUAACGCGUGGGUGACCUACCUUCGAGUGGGGGAUAACCUUCCGAAAGGAGGGCUAAUACCGCAUAACAUCCCGCUCUUGGACGAGCGGUGAUCAAAGCUGGGGAUCGCAAGACCUAGCGCUUGUUGAGGGGCCCGCGUCCGAUUAGCUUGUUGGUGGGGUAAUGGCCCACCAAGGCUACGAUCGGUAGCCGGCCUGAGAGGGCGGACGGCCACACUGGGACUGAGACACGGCCCAGACCCCUACGGGAGGCAGCAGUGGGGAAUUGUUCGCAAUGGGCGAAAGCCUGACGACGCAACGCCGCGUGGAGGACGAAGAUCUUCGGGUCGUAAACUCCUGUCGAGCGGGAAGAACAGCGUGCCGGUUAAUACCCGGUGCGCCUGACGGUACCGUUAGAGGAAGCCCCGGCUAACUCCGUGCCAGCAGCCGCGGUAAUACGGGGGGGGCAAGCGUUGUUCGGAUUUACUGGGCGUAAAGGGCUCGUAGGCGGCCAUCUAAGUCGGUUGUGAAAUCCCUCGGCUCAACCGGGGAACUGCGACCGAUACUGGGUGGCUUGA